This 497-nucleotide ribosomal RNA is filed under the name uncultured bacterium. RNAcentral describes it as "partial 16S ribosomal RNA". It matches the Rfam family "Bacterial small subunit ribosomal RNA", at positions 28 to 507 of the family's 1533-position model. The record is from RNAcentral.
GAUGAACGCUGGCGGCGUGCCUAAUACAUGCAAGUCGAGCGAACAGACGAGGAGCUUGCUCCUCUGACGUUAGCGGCGGACGGGUGAGUAACACGUGGAUAACCUACCUAUAAGACUGGGAUAACUUCGGGAAACCGGAGCUAAUACCGGAUAAUAUAUUGAACCGCAUGGUUCCAUAGUGAAAGACGGUUUUGCUGUCACUUGUAGAUGGAUCCGCGCCGCAUUAGCUAGUUGGUAAGGUAACGGCUUACCAAGGCAACGAUGCGUAGCCGACCUGAGAGGGUGAUCGGCCACACUGGAACUGAGACACGGUCCAGACUCCUACGGGAGGCAGCAGUAGGGAAUCUUCCGCAAAGGGCGAAAGCUUGACGGAGCAACGCCGCGUGAGUGAUGAAGGUCUUCGGAUCGUAAAACUCUGUUAUUAGGGAAGAACACAUGUGUAAGAAACUAUGCACGUCUUGACGGUACCUAAUCAGAAAGCCACGGCUAACUACGUG